UACGUAGGUCCCGAGCGUUGUCCAGAUUUAUUGGGCGUAAAGCGAGCGCAGGUGGUUUAUUAAGUCUGGUGUAAAAGGCAGUGGCUCAACCAUUGUAUGCAUUGGAAACUGGUAGACUUGAGUGCAGGAGAGGAGAGUGGAAUUCCAUGUGUAGCGGUGAAAUGCGUAGAUAUAUGGAGGAACACCGGUGGCGAAAGCGGCUCUCUGGCCUGUAACUGACACUGAGGCUCGAAAGCGUGGGUAUCGAACAGG
RNAcentral lists this ribosomal RNA (252 nucleotides) under uncultured bacterium. Its description in RNAcentral is "partial 16S ribosomal RNA". It matches the Rfam family "Bacterial small subunit ribosomal RNA", at positions 524 to 776 of the family's 1533-position model. The record is from RNAcentral.